AUUAUAACACAUCAAAUACCGCCCGUCAAGUCAGGGGAGUUGGGAGUGCCCAAAGUCUCACCAUGCGUGGGCCUAAGGCAAGCUCAAUGACAAGGACUAAGUCGUAACAAGGCACGGGUAGCGGAAGCUGCUCGUGGAUUAUUUCAAUU
This 149-nucleotide ribosomal RNA is filed under the name Candidatus Tayloriibacteriota bacterium. RNAcentral describes it as "partial 16S ribosomal RNA". It matches the Rfam family "Bacterial small subunit ribosomal RNA", at positions 893 to 1533 of the family's 1533-position model. Lineage: Bacteria; Candidatus Tayloriibacteriota. The record is from RNAcentral.